Molecule: ribosomal RNA, 385 nt
Filed under: Rhodopsalta cruentata
Lineage: Eukaryota; Metazoa; Arthropoda; Insecta; Hemiptera; Cicadidae
Description: partial 12S ribosomal RNA
Source: RNAcentral
UAAACUAGGAUUAGAUACCCUAUUAUUAAAAAUGUAAUAAAAAUAACUUGAUUAUUAUUAGAGAUGAUCUUUAAAUUCAAAGAAUUUGGCGGUAAUUUAUCUUAUCAGAGGAACCUGUUUUAUAAUUGAUAAUCCACGAUAGAAAAAACUUUAAUUCAACUUGUAUAUCUCUGUCAAGAAUGUUUUAUAAGAAAAAUUUUCAUUUUAUAUAUUAUUAUAUAUUGAAUGUCAGGUCAAGGUGCAGUUUAUAUUAAAGAAAAAAUGGGUUACAUUUAAAUAUAUAAUAAAUUAUUUUUUUAUAAUAAAAAUAUGAAACUGGAUUUGAUAGUAAAUUAAUUAAAUUUAAUUAAUUGAAAUUAGCUCUAAAUUAUGUACAUAUCGCCCG